RNAcentral lists this long non-coding RNA (1305 nucleotides) under Nicotiana benthamiana. RNAcentral describes it as "long non-coding RNA (NBEN_LNC032647)". The record is from RNAcentral. Lineage: Eukaryota; Viridiplantae; Streptophyta; Magnoliopsida; Solanales; Solanaceae.
UCACACACACAGAUUUCCAGCACAAAUUUACUGCACAAAAAAUCAUUCUCUCUUCUGCUGAAAAAACUAGGUUUCAAAUUUUAGAAAAACUUUCCUCCUUGAUUUUCUCAAAAGCUAAAAAGAUGAUUCGAAAUAGAAGGUUCUCUCCUGGUUUUCUUUGAUUAAAAUCUUUGGGUUUCUAAGGUUGAACUUUGGUGUGAUUUAGUUGUGGUUUGUUGUUUGUUGCUGCUUAUUAUCUUGGGGGAAAGCUCAACUGUUUUUGUGACCUUCAUUUGGUCUUUCUUUGAAUCAUGUAUAGGUAUGUAACCACAAUCUAGCUAUGAGAAUGAACUUGUCUUUGUGCAAAUCUGAAGUUAUUCAUGACUAUGUGUGCGUGGUUUUAUGUUUCAAUAAUAGAACUUAAUGUGUUGUUCAUUGUUCUUUAUCAGCUUUUCAUGUGUCUUCCUACGUAUUCCAGUAUGUAGGAAAAUAUUGUUAAAUAACAUAAAUAGUUGUGUCUCAUAACAAUAUUUAGGUUCAAUUUUGUGUAUGAUGCUUCUCUUUCUCUCUUUCAUUUGAUUCCUUUCACUCAAAAUACUGCUUUCAUUGUUCUUUUUGACUGUUUGGGUCAUGAGCUGUAACCUGUUGGUUCAACCAUCAGUUGGUUGGACCAAUUUGCUUUGAGAUCUUUAAGGUGGGAUUUACAUGUUAAAGGAAAGAAGAUGUAGCUUCUAUGAUUCUGAGUUGGAACCUCUAUGAUUUAUGUGUUUUACUUUCGACAUAGUUAAACUCAUGAAUAAACAUCUUUGUUUGCAUUCUUGAGAUUUAAUUUAGGUCUUUCAAUACAGUAUGAUACUAUAACUGAGGCAACUAUGUGAAUCUGACCUUCUCCCAUGGUCAGAUCCAUGACGUACUCAGAAAACAAGACUUAUUUAGCAAUAAGAAGUUUCAUGUUGGGAACUUGGGCAAAUUGUAAGAAGCAACUCUGUAUCUAGAUUCUUGCGGAUGUGGUGCUUUGGAUUCGAAGAAAUGAUGAAAGGAAAUUCUGGAAUCAAUAGAAGUCUUCAUUUUACUGUACUUUGUUCCUUUAAAAUUUCUUAGAUGUCAGUUAUAAUUGUGCUGAUUCUUUUGGAGUUAAAACUUCAUUGUAUAAUUUUAGGACUCACAAAUUUAUAAAAUGGACUGUUAGUUUUAAAAUCCAGUUAGUUAUCAAUAAGCCUACAAGAGUGGGCUAUUUUAUUUGGUGCAAUAAAUGUAUUUGGAGAUGUAUGCGAAAUCUGGCAUUGGGUCACAAUUAGGCCCAAACCUGGGCUCAUUCAAUGCAAG